UGACCACUGUAGAGAUAUGGUUUUCCCUUCGGGGACAACGGUGACAGGUGGUGCAUGGUUGUCGUCAGCUCGUGUCGUGUGAUGUUGGGUUAAGUCCCGCAACGAGCGCAACCCUUGAUCUUAGUUGCCAUCAUUUAGUUGGGCACUCUAAGGUGACUGCCGGUGACAAACCGGAGGAAGGUGGGGAUGACGUCAAAUCAUCAUGCCCCUUAUGACCUGGGCUACACACGUGCUACAAUGGACGAUACAAACGGUUGCCAACUCGCGAGAGGGAGCUAAUCCGAUAAAGUCGUUCUCAGUUCGGAUUGUAGGCUGCAACUCGCCUACAUGAAGCCGGAAUCGCUAGUAAUCGUAGAUCAGAAUGCUACGGUGAAUACGUUCCCGGGCCUUGUACACACCGCCCGUCACACCACGAGAGUUUGUAACACCCGAAGUCGGUGGGGUAACCUUUUGGAGCCAGCCGCCGAAGGUGGGAUAGAUGAUUGGGGUGAAGUCGUAACAAUGU
RNAcentral lists this ribosomal RNA (505 nucleotides) under uncultured bacterium. RNAcentral describes it as "bacterial SSU rRNA". It matches the Rfam family "Bacterial small subunit ribosomal RNA", at positions 992 to 1497 of the family's 1533-position model. The record is from RNAcentral.